Molecule: ribosomal RNA, 848 nt
Filed under: Escherichia coli
Lineage: Bacteria; Pseudomonadati; Pseudomonadota; Gammaproteobacteria; Enterobacterales; Enterobacteriaceae
Description: partial 23S ribosomal RNA
Rfam family: Bacterial large subunit ribosomal RNA
Source: RNAcentral
GGGACACGUGGUAUCCUGUCUGAAUAUGGGGGGACCAUCCUCCAAGGCUAAAUACUCCUGACUGACCGAUAGUGAACCAGUACCGUGAGGGAAAGGCGAAAAGAACCCCGGCGAGGGGAGUGAAAAAGAACCUGAAACCGUGUACGUACAAGCAGUGGGAGCACGCUUAGGCGUGUGACUGCGUACCUUUUGUAUAAUGGGUCAGCGACUUAUAUUCUGUAGCAAGGUUAACCGAAUAGGGGAGCCGAAGGGAAACCGAGUCUUAACUGGGCGUUAAGUUGCAGGGUAUAGACCCGAAACCCGGUGAUCUAGCCAUGGGCAGGUUGAAGGUUGGGUAACACUAACUGGAGGACCGAACCGACUAAUGUUGAAAAAUUAGCGGAUGACUUGUGGCUGGGGGUGAAAGGCCAAUCAAACCGGGAGAUAGCUGGUUCUCCCCGAAAGCUAUUUAGGUAGCGCCUCGUGAAUUCAUCUCCGGGGGUAGAGCACUGUUUCGGCAAGGGGGUCAUCCCGACUUACCAACCCGAUGCAAACUGCGAAUACCGGAGAAUGUUAUCACGGGAGACACACGGCGGGUGCUAACGUCCGUCGUGAAGAGGGAAACAACCCAGACCGCCAGCUAAGGUCCCAAAGUCAUGGUUAAGUGGGAAACGAUGUGGGAAGGCCCAGACAGCCAGGAUGUUGGCUUAGAAGCAGCCAUCAUUUAAAGAAAGCGUAAUAGCUCACUGGUCGAGUCGGCCUGCGCGGAAGAUGUAACGGGGCUAAACCAUGCACCGAAGCUGCGGCAGCGACACUAUGUGUUGUUGGGUAGGGGAGCGUUCUGUAAGCCUGUGAAGGUGUGCUGUGAG